GAUAAGUAAAAAUCGUCACUGGAUUAAGUGUGGGAGACAUGACACUCCUUACUUCUCCUAUUACGGGAUCAUAAAUUCCAUGCGAGUAACACCAAAAAACGAAUAAAAAAGCUCCUAGUCCCAGCAUAAUCAAAUGAUGACCAAGAAUAAAUCCUAGUUUAAUUGGAUCAUUCCA
This is a non-coding RNA of Candidatus Atelocyanobacterium thalassa isolate ALOHA, 175 nucleotides long. It matches the Rfam family "Antisense RNA which regulates isiA expression". The record is from Rfam. NCBI's taxonomy places the organism in Bacteria, Bacillati, Cyanobacteriota, Cyanophyceae, Chroococcales, Aphanothecaceae.